UGUUGCACGCAGCACGUCGGUUGUUUUUAAACAGGCAUGAGAAAAGGCAGCCCAGGGUCCUUAACGGCCAUCAGCGUUAAAAGGAGCAAAGAACUACAACAAACAGAAGGUCAGGAUGGUGCAGAACAUACUAAAUAAAUUCGUCGGCGCGAAGUAUAUCACUAUUCUAAAGACGUGGAUACCGAACAUGGCUGCCUGGGGAACAGUUGGUGGAGUGGCGCUCGUUUACUUCACAGACUGGCGAUUAAUUCUGGACUAUGUGCCAUACGUUAACCAGAAGUUCAAAAAGGAUGAAUAGAGUCCCACACAACUAAAUUCUACAGGACCAGAUCGGGGAAUGGGCACAUGGAUGGGUUGAUAACGCAACACAAGCUUAAGAGGGAUGCCCUGGCUCGAAAAUCAGUCAAUGAGGGCUCGCCAGUAGUUGGGACUUCAAGAUGCACUCUGUAUACGUGUGGGUUUCGAUCCAGUUUUAUUUAAUGUGAAUAAAUCUUUUAACUUGGUCCGAUUUGUCCAGUUAUUCAGCAAAAAGCCAACUAAUUAAAUGUUUUUGCUUGAAUUUACUGUUAAAAUGGGUUAAAAAAAUCGAUUUGUUCAAUGCUGAAUAAAAGUGGAAAUACUGUCAUUUUGUUUUUCAUGGGGCAGUUUUAAGACAGGCAGUUGGAUCUGAAAAACCUUAUAUUUGCCAACUCUUGAUGUUUAUUUGUACAUUAAAGGAAUAUGAAAUAAAAAAUAUAUUGAAGACAAUGUUUAUGCGAAGUAUGUCAUUGUAUUUCCUUAUGCAUGCUGAAUCACACACAUCCACCGAGGUAUUGUGAGCCUAGCACACUGGGAAUACCUCAGGUUCGCCCAAACAUUAUUCUCUUUUUAUCAACCAGACUGCGAAAUUUGCGUGGAUAAUGUCUUUCAUUUCUCCCAUCGAAGGGGGAGGGGACUGAAUGAGGAGAGAGGAGAAGGGAUUUAACAUAGCGAGAGGGAGAAAACGAGAUAGUGUCUUCAAGAUGGAUAAAAACGACAGAGGAGAAGAGCA
Molecule: RNA transcript, 1030 nt
Organism: Notothenia coriiceps (black rockcod)
Lineage: Eukaryota; Metazoa; Chordata; Actinopteri; Perciformes; Nototheniidae
Gene name: cytochrome b-c1 complex subunit 10-like
Exons: 4
Source: RefSeq, a predicted model, not a curated record